RNAcentral lists this ribosomal RNA (253 nucleotides) under uncultured bacterium. RNAcentral describes it as "partial 16S ribosomal RNA". It matches the Rfam family "Bacterial small subunit ribosomal RNA", at positions 524 to 776 of the family's 1533-position model. The record is from RNAcentral.
UACGUAGGCAGCGAGCGUUGUUCGGAAUUACUGGGCGUAAAGAGUGUGUAGGCGGUGCUCUAAGUUCGGUGUGAAAUCUCCUGGCUUAACUGGGAGGGUGCGCCGGAAACUGGGGUGCUCGAGCGUGGGAGAGGAAAGCGGAAUUCCUGGUGUAGCGGUGAAAUGCGUAGAUAUCAGGAGGAACACCUGUGGUGUAGACAGCUUUCUGGACCAUUGCUGACGCUGAGACACGAAAGCUAGGGGAGCAAACAGG